GAUGAACGCUGGCGGCGUGCCUAAUACAUGCAAGUCGAGCGAACAGACGAGGAGCUUGCUCCUCUGACGUUAGCGGCGGACGGGUGAGUAACACGUGGAUAACCUACCUAUAAGACUGGGAUAACUUCGGGAAACCGGAGCUAAUACCGGAUAAUAUAUUGAACCGCAUGGUUCAAUAGUGAAAGACGGUUUUGCUGUCACUUAUAGAUGGAUCCGCGCCGCAUUAGCUAGUUGGUAAGGUAACGGCUUACCAAGGCGACGAUGCGUAGCCGACCUGAGAGGGUGGUCGGCCACACUGGAACUGAGACACGGUCCAGACUCCUACGGGAGGCAGCAGUAGGGAAUCUUCCGCAAUGGGCGAAAGCCUGACGGAGCAACGCCGCGUGAGUGAUGACGGUCUUCGGCUCGUAAACCUCUGUUAUUAGGGAAGAACAAAUGUGUAAGUAACUAUGCACGUCUUGACGGUACCUAAUCAGAAAGCCACGGCUAACUACGUG
RNAcentral lists this ribosomal RNA (497 nucleotides) under uncultured bacterium. RNAcentral describes it as "partial 16S ribosomal RNA". It matches the Rfam family "Bacterial small subunit ribosomal RNA", at positions 28 to 507 of the family's 1533-position model. The record is from RNAcentral.